UAAAAUUUCUAAAAUAUUACAAAAAAAAUAAAAAAUUCUAAAAUCAGAGAAGCACGCAUUCGUUUUCUCUCUCCUCGAUUCUUCGACCUCUUCCUCUUCAGCGUCGUUCUGUCGUCGCCGUCGCUUCUUCACUGCCGAAGAUCGAUCUCCCCCACCGCAGUUGAUCUCUACCCUCUUCCAGAUCAGACUAAUUCAGGUAGUUUGGAUCACUGGAGCCAGCCGUGGAAUCG
This is a long non-coding RNA of Spinacia oleracea (spinach), 230 nucleotides long. RefSeq lists it as uncharacterized. The record is from RefSeq and is a predicted model, not a curated record. The transcript is spliced from 2 exons. NCBI's taxonomy places the organism in Eukaryota, Viridiplantae, Streptophyta, Magnoliopsida, Caryophyllales, Amaranthaceae.